UGGGGAAUAUUGGGCAAUGGGCGAAAGCCUGACCCAGCGACGCCGCGUGAAGGAAGACGGCCUUCGGGUUGUAAACUUCAGUUAUACGGGACGAAGAAAUGACGGUACCGUAAGAGAAAGCCACGGCUAACUACGUGCCAGCAGCCGCGGUAAUACGUAGGUGGCGAGCGUUAUCCGGAUUUACUGGGUGUAAAGGGUGAGUAGGCGGGGAAGCAAGUCAGAAGUGAAAUUCAUGGGCUCAACUCAUGAACUGCUUUUGAAACUGUUUCUCUUGAGUGUCGGAGAGGUAAACGGAAUUCCCGGUGUAGCGGUGAAAUGCGUAGAGAUUGGGAAGAACACCAGUGGCGAAGGCGACUUACUGGGCCGUAACUGACGUUGAUGCGCGAAAGCGUGGGGAGCGAACAGG
This 406-nucleotide ribosomal RNA is filed under the name uncultured prokaryote. Its description in RNAcentral is "bacterial SSU rRNA". It matches the Rfam family "Bacterial small subunit ribosomal RNA", at positions 355 to 776 of the family's 1533-position model. RNAcentral also lists the same sequence under 1 other name. The record is from RNAcentral.